This 13889-nucleotide long non-coding RNA is filed under the name Nicotiana tabacum (common tobacco). Its description in RNAcentral is "long non-coding RNA (NTAB_LNC015476)". The record is from RNAcentral. Lineage: Eukaryota; Viridiplantae; Streptophyta; Magnoliopsida; Solanales; Solanaceae.
UGAUCAUCUCGGGUAGAAUGUGUCCUCACCAUCUGUGAGAGAAUAGAAGAUAGAUGUUAGAAUUAUGACAUCAAAUCUGGCACGACAAGAAAAUCAAAUGAAGUGGUGUUUUUCUAACAGUUACAUAGCCUCUCGUAGAUAAGUACAGACGUCUCUAUACCGAUCAACGAGACUCUAAUAAACCGGCUUAUGAUUCAUGACUCCUAUGAACCUAGAGCUCUUAUACCAACUUUUCACGACCUCGAUUCACCCUACGUGAACCAUCGUGACGGCACCUAGUCUCUAUGACUAGGUAAGCUAAAAAUGCGGAAGAUAAACCAAUUUGCGAAAGUAAACAAUUUUAAGCAGAAAUAGAGUAAUAAAACAACGUUUAAAAGUGUCGCUCAGCAUACACAAUAUUAACUAUCAAAAGCUAAUACAUUUUCCAAAAACCCUAAAAUCCAUUAAUCCCAAGCUACGAAUAUAAUAAAAAUGCUCUAACUCCGGAAUGUCUACAUCAACAGAAAAGAUAGAAGGGCUAUCACUACAAGAUAGAAUGGAAAGGGACUCCUCGGUAUGUGCAUGCGGUAGAUAUACCUCGAAGUCUCUGGAGCAGUCGCCUCGUCUCAAGGGUGAAAGGACUGAGUCAAAGUACCUAGAUCUGCACAUGAAAAAUAUGUGCAGAAAGGGCAUAAGUACACCACAGCGGUACUCAGUAAGUGCCAAGACUAACCUCGUUCGGGUAGUGACGAAGAAGGUCAGGGCCCUACUGAGAUAAAAUAAAAAUAUAAGGCAUGACAGAAUAAGAUAAGCAGUACAAUUGAAAGCUAACAAUAAGAAUUUAAUAUUGGAAAAUAAGGAACUCAAUAACUAAAACAGAGGCAAAACAAUCACAAGGAAAUACCACUAUUCACAAGGAUAAUAACCGAGGAUCUCUAAGUAUACCAAGGAUCCCUUAGUACCCUCAAUAUAUGCUAGGGAUCUCUUAGUAUCCUGAGAAUCUCUCGGUAUCCUCAAUAUAUACUAGGGAUCUCUUGGUAUCCUCAAUAUACGUGCUAAGGAUAUCUCGGUAUCCCGAGGAUCUCUUGGUAUCCUCAAUAUAUGUUCUAGGGAUUCUCGGUAUCCCGCACCUCAGCUCAAAUCAUAAAUACAUGCAGGGUAUCUCCCGGGAUGUCGUCCCGCAGUCCUAAAGUAAAACAAGCAGCAACAACACAAGGAAUACUCAAUUAAGCUCAAUUUCGUACCAAGUAAACAGGUAAUUCUAACCUAACAUGCUUCACAUAAUGCAAUUAAGGUAGUUUAAGCAAGUAAGCAAUUAAGUCAAUUAAACAUGUUUUUCUAAGCUAAAAACAGUCUUAAAUUGCAAGUAGUAUAAAACAGGAAAAAGGAACACAAUUGAAAUUACUAAAAGAAAACCGUAUUUUCAAUAAUUAGUUGAAGUACGCACUCGUCGCCUCACGUAGAACACAUUUCAAUUAUCAAAUAUACCAAAUCCUAAGGGGAAGGUCCCCCACACAAGGUUAGGCAAGCCAUUUACCUCGAACCAGCUCAAAUCAAUCUGAAACCACGCUCUUUCCACAAGUACUCGACUCCAAAUGGCCCAAAUCUGUUCAAUUCAAUUUCAUAAUAUAAAUAACACUUCAAGUAACGGAUUCUACAAAGAAAUUCUAAGCUAAUACGCGAAAUUAGGUAAAAUGAUCAAAAUGCCCCUCGGGCCCACAUCUAGGAAUCAGGUAAAAUUUACAUUUCCAGAAUCCUCACACUCUCACGAGUUCAGUCAUACCAAAAGUACCAAAAUCGGACCUCAAAUGGUCCCUCACAUCAUCACUCAAAGGUCUCUAAUUAGUCAAGCCCUAAUCCCCAAAUUACCAUUGAUUUUCCUUAAAUUUUGAUGUUUAUAAUGAUAAAAAUCACCCCAAUAACGAGUUUAGGGAUCAAAAACCUUACCCCAAUGAAUUCCUCUAAAACUCUCUCUUGAAAAUGCUCCCCAAGGCUUCUUCCCGUUUGAAAAGAGGUGAAAAUAGCUCAAAUUCGAGAAGACAAGAAUUUAUAUGUUUCUACCCAGCUAAUCCGCUUAUGUGGUCAUGAGACCGCACCUGCAGUCCCACUUUUGCGGAAAUAACGUUGCAUCUACGAUAAUUCACUUAAGGCAUUGGGUCGCAUCUGCGCUUCUUCUAUCGCACCUGCGGUCUCGCAGGUGCACCCAUACCACCGCACCUGUAGAAACUGGCUUCCAAGCACUUCGCCGCAUCUGCGUCUUCUCAAGCGCUUCUGCGAUCACGCACUUGUGGUGCCCAAUCCGCAGCUGCGGUUAUGACAGAAGUUCAGCAACUGAAACUGAUCAAACCAACUCCCAAUUCUUCUGGCAACCUUUCAAAACCAUCCCGAGGCCCCCGAGACCUCAACCAAAAAUAUGAACAAGUCAUAUAUCACUAUCCAAACUUAUACCAAUCCUUAAACACCUAAAACAACACUUGAACCUCGAAUUAACCAUGGAUUCAAGCCUAAGAACUCCAAAAUUCUCAAAAUACGCUUUCGAUCAAAAAGUCUAUCAACCCCCGUCCAAAUGACCUGAAAUUUUGCACACUCGUCACAUUUAAUACUACGGAGCUACUCCAACUUCCGAAAUUCCAUUUUGACCCUAAGAUCAAAAUCUAACUAUCGAACCGGAAACUUCAAAAAUUCAACUUUCGGCAUUUCAAGCCUAAAUUAGCUAUGGACCUCCAAACCACAAUCCGAUCAUGCCCCUAAGCCCGAAAUCAGUCAACGGAGCUAACGGAACAAUCGAAAUUUCAUUCCUUGGCCAUCUUCAUGUUUUCCUUUUAAGCUCUCAUUAAGGGACUAAGUGUCCCAAAACUCUCUGAAACUCAAAACCGAACAUUCUGGCAAAUCAAAAUAGUAGAAAUAAACACGGUAAAAGCAUUUAAUAGGGGAUCGGAGCAUUAAUUCUUAAGACGACCGUUCGGGUCGUCAUAUUUCCACACAUGAAAGAUCACCUUUUCAUCAGCCCCCCCCCCCCCCAGGAAGGUGAGCUCACCGGCUUCCACAUCAACAAGAGUCUUCCACGUAGCAAGGAAAGAUCUACCCAAGAUAAUAGGAACCUUAUAGUCCAUUUCACAGUCAAGAAUCACAAAAUCCACUGGGAGGAUAAACUUAUCAAUAUGAAACAACACAUCAUCAAUAAUACCCAAUGGUCUCUUCAUAGUACGAUCCGCUAUUUGUAACCUCAUAGAUAUGGGUCUUGGUUUCCCAAUUUCGAAAGUUUUGAACACCGAUAGGGCCAAGUUGAUACUCGCCCCAAGAUCACAUAAGCAAAGUAUGCACUUCCAAUUGUACAUGAGAUUGUGAAAGCGCCCGGAUCUUCCAAUUUACGAGCCAUUGAGUGCACAAUUGCACCCACUUGAUGUGUCAUCUUUAUAGUCUCAUAUUUAUCGACCUCUUAUUUGUCACCUUGUCCUUCAUGAACUUUGCAUAACCUGACAUUUGUUCCAAGGCCUCAACCAACGGCACACUAAUAGAGAAACUCUUCAUCAUGUCAAUAAACUUUUUGAAUUGGUUCUCACCAUUUUACUUGGCAAGCCUUUGAGGAUAUGGAGGAGGAGGCCUUGGCAUUGGUGCCUUAUCCUUUGGCACUACUGGUUCUAGUAUGUCAAUAAUGUGCUCCCUAGACGGGUUCACUUCUUCUUGAGUCUCCUCCACAUUGUCUUCAAUAUCAAUUCUCACCUCAUCAUUUGCUUGCACUCUAUUGCUUGGAAUCUCAUCUUCUUGUACCAAUUGUUCAUAUUCCACAAUCUUCUUUUGGCUUGAGGUGGUUGCCUCCCCUACUUUUCCACUCCUUGUAGUAACAGCCAUGGCAUGUACCGUGUUGUUCCCACCCUUUGGGUUUACCACCGUAUCACUUUGUAGUGCUCCAUUAGAACGAGUGUUCAAAGCUUGCGAGAUUUGGCCCAAUGGAACUUCUAAAUUGCGAAUUGAAGUGCUGUGAGAGGCUAGUUGAGCAUCUGAGUUGGCAUUAUUCUCCAUCAUUUGUUUAAACAUGUUCUCAAUUUGUCCCAUAUCAUUGUUGGAAGAGCUCAGACCUUGAAAACCUGACCUCGAUUGUUGUUGUUGUUCCACCCUCCUAGGUUGUUACCUCCCCAAUAGCCUUGAUUAUUGUCACUCAAAUUGCCUUGGUUAUUUUGACCAUUCCAAUUUCCUUGAUUGAUUUGAUUGUUCUCAUUCCCUUGGUUGUUUUGAUUGUUCCAACUACCUUGAUUGCUUGAAUUCCAAUUUCCUUGAUUUCCUUGUUGUCGACAUUGUUGUUGAUUUGGGACUUGAUUGUUGUUUCUUUGCCCUUGGAAUUUGUUCACAUAUUGUACUUCCUCAUCUUGUUCAUUGUAUUGUCCAUCUUGAUCAAAUCCACUAUCAUCUUGCACAUAUAUUUCAACCCGGUUUUGCACUUGAGGACCCUUUUGCCUUCUCUUAUUUACCAUCAUAUUAACUCCCUCCAUUGCAUUUACUUGCUUGGGACCUUGCACUUGUUAAAGUUGAGCUUUGGCUAAUUAAUUCAUUGUGGUGGUCAACUCAGCAAUUGCUUGCCCAUGAUCAUGUAAUUCUUUAUGCAAGUAAAUCACAUUUGGAUCAUCUUAAGGAACGUUUGCUCUACUUUGUCAUGCCGAUGAAGUAGUAUCCUCCAUUUCAUAUAAUAUCUCACAAGCUUCUUCAUAUGGCAUUGUCAUGAAAUUUCUACCGGCAAGUUGGUUGACCAUGCAUUGAUUGAUAGUGUUGAUCCCCCUAUAGAAAGUUUGUUAAAUCAUAGCUUCUGUCAUGUCAUUACUGGGGCACCCUUUGACCAUUGUUCGGUAUCUCUCCCAUAUCUCAUACAAAGGCUCGUUAGGUUCUUGUUCAAAAGCUAGAAUAUCAUCCGUAAGAGUUUCCAUAUGAACGGGAGAAAAGAACUUGGAAAUGAAGUUCUCAGCCAAUUCAUCCCAUGUAUGGAUAGAAUGAUUUGGCAACCUCUCUAACCAAUCCGAGGCCUUCCCCCGUAGAGAGAAAGGGAAUAGCCUCAAUCAUAAAGCAUCCUUGGAGUUGUUUGUCUAUUUACUCUCCCAGCAAGUGUCAACAAACCCUUUCAAGUUCUUGUAUGCAUUUUGACUCGGAGCCCAGUUAAAGAAUCCCCAUUGUUCCAAUAGUGUAAGCAUAAAAUUGUGAUUUGAAAGUUUCCCGCCCUAAUGUGGGGCUGGACUAUGGCACUUGUGUAUCCUUCAUUCGGCAACACCUGGUGUGCCGCCGCUCUUGGAGGAGGUAAGGGUGGAACGGGAACAUUGUCUUGAGGCGACCGGCCUCGUCUAUUUGUUUGAGGUUCAAGAGGAACCUCAUCAACUAGGUCAUCAUCUCCAUCAUCCCCCAAAGGCAUGUUUCCAAGAGGAUUAUUGUUGUUGAGAGCCAUUGUAUCACCAACAAUUGUUUCACAAAAAGAUUAGUAACCCGAAAGGAAAGGAAUACAAAUCACACAAAACCAAUUCCUCAGGGAGCAUAGAUGGGAUUAGGUAACCCGAAAGGAAAGGAAUACAAAUCACCAAACCUCAAAUUGGGGUUGUAAAGUGGUCGAUGCAAUUAUAAUUACCCAACUAGGAGUCAGAUCAAUUCCUCAGGGAGCAUAGAUGGGAUUAGGUAUAUACUCGGACUAAGCAUAUAAUGUGUCCCAAAUGCACUUCCACAUACUUUGUUGUUUUUGUCUACUUCUAAAUAAAGUUAUUUCUAGAAAGUAUAAAACUAGAGAAUGAUAUUUUUGGUAUUGUUUUUCAAGUUGUAAAAGACCUAGGACUGUAAUUUCCACCAAGGUGGUUGUCUAACGGGUUGUGGGCUUUAGAGCGAGUUUCAUUGGUCGGGUCGUAAUAUAGCAAUCAACAUAAUUACCCACUCCAUAACUCUCGGUAAUAGAGUGGUUUUGCCCAAUUUGGUUUUCUCAAGCCCAAAUGGGCAAUUCACAAAACAAUUGAUAGAUGCUCAAGUCGGGUUUUACUAUCUCUAGAUUCAAUCCUUUAUGUAAGGCCCUGUGAAAUUUCUACUCAAAAAAACCCAAGUCUUGUGGUGCCAAGUUAGGACCACGUGUUAGAAAUUCAUAAAAUUCUUCGGUUAAAGUUAAAGAUUUGUGCAUUAAAAAGUUUAAGAAUAGUGUUUUCCAAAAAAGUGCAAUUCUGCGGUCAACUCUAUGAUCGCAUAAUAGCUAUGCGGACCGCAUAGUCAUCGCAGAGUCAGGCAGUGUGAAGGUUAAUUUUGAGGUCAACUAUGCGGCUAAAUAGGCGAUCACAUAAUCGAUAUGCGGGCUGCAUAGUCAUCGCAUAAUCCUCUUGGAUGCGGUCGAACAUAAAUUUAACAUGUAAAUCAUAUUUCUUUCUUGAUUCUUUUCAAAAUGAGGGAAAUUCAACUUGAAGCUUUUAAGGAAAUUACCCCGCUCACGAAACAUACAUGCGACACGGUUACACAUAGAUUUUUAAGCUAUUAUAAUAUUCCUCAAUUCUUUUCGAAAUUUCGAAGUUCAAAUGAAACCUUUUAAAUCUUAAAUUCUUCAAAAUUCAAUUAUUUCAAGACAAUUACCGCGCAACCUCAAUUUCGCUUCUUCUCAAGGCAAGCAAUAAACAUAAAUCGACGAUAAUAUCAACAAGGCAUGAUGUAAACCUAGACUAUCCGGACAUAGGCAUAGCUAGUAGCUACGUACGGACUCUCGUCACCUCGUGCGUACGUAGCCCCCAUAAUUUAAAAGAACAUAUUAAUUUAUUUCACCUAUGGGGUUAAUUUCCUCGUUCAAGGUUAGAAAGGAGACUACCUCGCUCCGAAAUUUCAUAUCCGGCUCCCCACGGCUUUCCAACAAUUCCAACCGAUGCCCAACACUCCAAAACUAGUCAAACAAUAUGCAAGUCAAUAGAGAUACACUCUAAUACUCACAACAAUUCGAUUUAAACAAAUUCCCAACUCCACUUGAAAGGUUGAUAAAAUCACCCUCACGCCUACGUGCCCGAAUUUUGAAAAUUUUCGAAGAUAAACUUUACCCAUAACCCCAUGAACUCAAAUAUAUAAUUUAUUUCCAAUUCCAUGCCCAAAUUCGUGGUAAAAAAAUAAAAUACCAAAUUCUAGGUCUUCUACCAAAAACCCCCACAAUUUAUACUAAUUUCCAUGUUCCAAUCCAUGUAUAAUUCAUAUAUUUAACUCACAAAUAGGAAGAAACCACUUACCUAGAAUUGCUUGAUGAAAAUCUCCCCUUGAAGCUCUCCAAAAUCGUCCAAACCAAAUGAAAAUGGGAGAAAAAUGGGCCAAGUCCCGUUUUUAUAAAACCCUUCUGUCCAGCGACAUAUCCCCACCUGCGGAAAAAUAGUCGCACCUACAGCUUCGCAAGUGCGAGGCUGCCUUCACUUCUGCGGUUUCCUUCCACUACUGCGGUCAACUCCUUCACUUCUGCGCUUGCGCAGAUGUGGCUAACACUCUGCACUUGCAGUCCUUCCCCUGACUAUCCAACCCCGCAUCUAUUACCCUAAGGCUGCUUCUGCGGCUUCGCACCUGUGGCCAAAACCUUGCAGGUGCGUUACACCAGAUAUCAGCUGCCUAAAUUCUUUUUCAAAUUUCAAAUUCCAUUUGUUAGCCACCCGAAAUCCACCUGAGCUCCCCGGGACCCCGUCCAGUCACACGAACCAGUUCCAAAACAUGACGCAGACCUGGUCGAGGCCUCAAAUCAUAUCAAACAAUGUCGAAUUCACGAAUCACACCCCAUUCCAAGCUUAAUUAACUUUAGAAUUUUAAACUUUUUCAUUUGAUGUCGAAACCUAUCAAAUCACGUCAUAUUGACCUCAAAUUUUGCACACAAGUCAUAUUUGACAUUAUGGACCUACUCCGACUUACGAAAUCAGAAUGUGACCCCGAUAUCAAAAAGUCCACUUCCGGUCAAACUUCUUAAAAAUCUUCAAAUUUCUAACUUUAGCCUAAUGACUCCAAAAUGACCUACGGACCUCCGAAUCCACUUCCAGACAUGCUCCCAAUACCAGAAUAUUCAUACAGAGCUAUUCCCAAAAUUGGAAUCCUAAAAGGACAUCGAUAACACCGAAAUGAACUGCAACCCAUAUUUAUGAAAUUCUUCCCAAAAUGCUAACUUCCACAAUAGGCGCCGAAAUGCUCGGGGUCAUCCAAUUCUGACCACGCGUACAAGUUAUAAUACUUGAAGUGAAGCUGCUCAUGGUCUCAAACUACUGAACGAUGUGCUAGAGCUCAAAACGACCGGCCGGGUCGUUACAACAUGAUACUUCGUAUGCUGGUCAUCCUGGUGUUGAAAGGAUGUUGGCAUUGCUGUCUCAGAAUUACUUUUGGCCGAAAAUGGAAGAUGAUAUUCAGACCUAUGUGAAAACUUGCCUUGUUUAUCAACUUGACAAGACUGAACAGAAGAAGGAAGUUGGUUUGCUACAACCUCUACCCAUUCCUGAGUGUCUAUGGCCUUCUGUUUCUAUGGACUUUAUCAGCGGGCUUCCAAAGGUUGAUGGCAAAGCAUCAAUUAUUGUGGUGGUAGACAGGUUCUCAAAGUAUGGGAUUUUUUGGUAUUGCACCAACCAUUUAUUCUUCUGAAGUAGCUACUGAAUUAUUCUACAAGAAUGUUGUGAAACACUUUGGGUUCCAAAAGAUAUUUUGAGUGAUCGGGAUGCAAGAUAUACAGGCCGAUUUUGGAUUGUUGUGUUCAAAUUCUUGGGGACUUACUUGAAAUUCUCAAUUGCAAAUCGCCCACAAACUGAUGGGCAAACCAAGCAUAUCAAUCAUCUUCUUGAAUAAUACUUAAGUCAUUAUGUGACUGCUAAUCAGAGGAAUUGGGUUGAGAUACUAGACAGUGCCCAGCUUUGUUACAACUUGCACAGGUCUAUGGCAGCUGAAAUGAGUCCUUUUGAGAUAGUGUUAGGAAGACAGCCUGACAAUGCUGGGAGUCACUCAAAUAAAAUCAGUGGGAAAGUGUCAUGCUGCUUAUAGAUAUGCUCGUGACAAGCAUGAUUUGCUGGCUGAGGCGCGAGACAAUUUGAGAAAAGUGGCUAAGAGAAUGAAAAGGAACGCUAAUAGAAUAGACGGCCUUUGGAGUUCAAUGUUGGUGACAAGGUGUUUCUGAAACUUACUCUACAUAUUUGGAAGAAAAUCAGUGGUAAGACACGCUAUCAUGGAAUAAUUCCAAAGUAUGACAUCUCAUUUGAAGUUAUAAAGAAAGUGGGUGAAGUGUCUUACCGACUGAAUCUGCCGGAAUGUCUCAAAAUUCACCCAACUUUUCAUGUGAGUUUCCUGAAAUGGUUCCAUGAAGAUACUGAAGAUCUAACAAGGGCGGUGCCAAAGCGUGCUCCUCCAGUAGAGCUCAAGAAAUUUGAAGAGACGAUUGAGAAGAUUUUUUAUCACCGUAUGCCGGGUCAAAGAAAAAAGAAUAGACGGACAGAGUUCCUAGUUAAAUGGGCGGGAAAGUAGGAAUGUGCUCAACUUGGAAGAAAGGACCGUCUCUAUGGCAAUUUCAGGAUCAAAUCAAGGCGUAUCUGGAUUCUUCCUCAUCGAAGGUUACAAGCUCAUCUAGUGUGGGAAGUUUGUUAGCCCCUCGUCUUGAUUGAUCGAACAUGGCAUGGGCAUGACAAGGGAUUUACACGAUGGACCUCGGCACGCCCCCAUAAUGAUUGUGGCAUCAUAUUGACAAAGCUAUCUAACAUGGGCAGGUGUUGAUGGGCAUGGGAUAUGGAACGACGGCAUGUGGCUAAGGUGUCAAAGCAUGUCAAGACCAUGGCAUUGGCGUGGCCAUGGCAAGGCAAAGACAAUGGGCAGCAGCGGCUGGAAAAACUAAGGCAGGGCAUGGCAAGCAGAUGGGCGCGAGCAAGGCAAUGUCAUGAGCGAGCUGGGCAAGCGGCAGACAUGCGCGCAAAGGCAUACUACACGAGGGCUUGGCGCGAAGACAUGACAGAGUUGGCCUUUGGCGCCAAAAUUCGAAGGUUGCGCCCAUGUGCCACGCACAUGCAGGCCAGUGCCAGUUUCGGGUAGUUUCCUGUUUUUCAGCAUUGUGGCUAAGUGGGGCUGUGGGAAGUUGUGUUAUUUGAAUUUUGAAAUUCAAAUUUCUUGGUAGUUGGGGAUGUCAACUGCUAGAUAGGAUAAGGUUGAGAGCCAAAAACGUUUGUCUAUAUAAUUCCUAAAAAGGCAGAGUGUUGGCUGCCUUUGACUCAUUUUUAUAAGGUUGUGUUUAUUUGUUUCUUUAUAGCACGAGUUAAUACAAAAUUGGAAAAAAAUUAUUGUAAGUUGUAUGUCUUGUCUGAUUUCUUUGCGUUGUUAUAAUAUAAGUGUUAAGCCAAUAACAUGAGGGAAAAAGAAGAGGGCUGAAUCAAUUAUUAUGUGGCUGCCGUGCAGUGUCAAAACGAAAAAAAUUGACUCUCUAACAGUAGCCAUGUUAUGCCUUACAUAUUGUCUUUAGAAAAAGUUCGCCGUGAAAUCUUUAUUGCGUCUGUUCCUAUUUAAAUCAUGUUGUACUUACUAAGUAAAACUUAAAAGCACAAUGUUCUGUUAUAUUAAAAUUCAAAGAAAUAAGGCAGAGUUAGGUAUUACGUAUAGUAGUUUGGAGAUGGAAUUUAAAAUCACUUGAAAAACUACAAAUUUUUUUGGAAUAGUUCAUUUUUUUCAAAAAUAAGAAAUAUUUCGCGGAAUUUACCGCAAGCAAGUUAUCUACUUUUUAGUUAUGAUACCGGAAUUUUGAUGGGUUGGUUUUAUCAUAUUGAUUGCUUAUUUGCUCCUUUUGAUUUUUUCUUGGUUUCCUCUUCAUUAUUCAUUCUUUUAUGUUAGAUUUUGUUUUCAUUUGGUUUUUCUUUGUUUAGAUAUGCGAGUAUUAGGAUCUAGGGAUGUGGUAAGUUGUCAAAGAAUAGGUAUAUUGAAAGGAUAUAUUCUUGUAGAAAUUAGUUGAUUGUUACUUCCAUUUCCAUACGAGAAGGUUUUGUUUUAGUUUUGAAAUAUAAUAUCAUUAAUAAUAGACAAAAUGAGAAGGAAAAAAACUAAACCUUAUCAGAGGAGGAGCACUGAUGCACCGGUGAGGAGGUGUGAGCGACUGGCUGUAGUGGGCACGCGGAGAGGUAGAGGGAGACCUAAGAAGUAUUGGGGAGAGGUGAUCAGACAGGACAUGGCGCGACUUAGGAUUACUGAGGACAUGGCCCUUGAUAGGGAAUUAUGGAGGACGAGUAUUAAGGUUGUAGGUUAGGGGAGAGUGUGAAUAUUUCUACAGCACAAGUGAGGGAGACUAUCUAGUUAGGAGUUAGACUAGGAAUGUCAGUGGUCGUCUAUUGAUGCAGGGCUUUACCUUCUAGUUGUACUAUACCAGCCAUCUAUUUCGUAUUUCGUAUUUCGUAUCAUGUAUUUCAUAUUUCAUAUCUCUUAUAUAUUGUUGUUAUUUUUAUUACGCAUUUUUAUGGUACUAAUAUAUCAUCUCCUAUUGUUUUUUUGAGCCGAGGGUCUCCUGGAAACAGCCUCUCUACCCUUCGGGGUAGGGGUAAGGUCUGCGUACAUAUUACACUCCUCAGACCCCACUUGUGGGAUUAUAAUGGGUCGUUGUUGUUGUUGUAUGGUUCAAGAUUUAGUGCCAAUAAAAAGUGUAAUUUGUUUUUUUUUUGGCACACUCAAACACUUUUUGACUUGGAUAAAUCAUUGCUGAUGAGAUAAACUCAAAAUUUAGAUGGGUAGUCUGAAUAUUAGUUCGUUAAAAAUAGUUCAGCCUGACAAAUAAUUUUGAGUAGAAUUGACAUCAUUAAUUUUGAAUUUCUAAAAUCGUGCUUUUUUUAGCUUGGGUGUCCUUAGAGAUUGUCUUUUUUAAAUAUAUAUUUAAAUGAUUCCAUUGUAUGAUAACUAGUGGAAUUACCCGUACUUCCGCGACCAUAAAAAAUUCUUUAAAAUAUUACUAUAUUAAAUAGUAUUCCUUAAUUUUUAUAGUUAUUGAUUUAUUGAUUUUAUAAAAGGAAAACCAAUCUUUGAUUUUACUAUGAACUAUUACAGUGAAUAAACGGCAUAUUACAACAGUUUAAACUACAUUCACAAAUCACAACGCAAAAUCUCAUCUUAAAUUCUCAGCGAAUGUUAAUUAAAUUCCAACUUUAACCAAUUGAAAGUGAAAAUCAAAAUCUAAAGUAUAAUAUCCUUAAUUUCAUUUACAUUACAUGACUCCUUCAUUUUACUAUAAAAAAGGAUUUCUAACGCAUUGCCCCUCGAUAUACCAAAACUAAAUUAUGCUUCUAGCUCGCAGAGUACUUACACCCUUAUCUAUCUAAGGCUGUAAAAUUAAACCUAAAAGUCCUCAACACCUUAUCAUACGAUUUCAACCUAUCUAACAUUAAAACAAUAUCGCACCUCAUCGAUCACUUGAUCGUUCAUCUAAUGAUCUCUGACUAAGCAUUUACCGAUAUUAGUUAGGCAAAAUAUUUGCUAACUUUUUUGCAUUAACUUUGACAAAAAAUUUCCUACAAACUUGUACAUAUUAAUAAGCCUAAAAUGAGUAAAACAUGUUGGAGAAUUUACCCUGGGGAGAAGCACCAGAUUUGUAUGACUCAAAGCUGUAAGAAUUGUGGCAACAUAGGAAAAACAGAGAACAACCUAAAGACAUUCUAAGCUAUACAUCUUUAAUAGGUCUAAUAAAUAAUACUCCCUUCGUUCCGAUUUACGUGAACCUAUUUCCUUUUUAUUCGUUCCAAAAAGAAUGACCCAUUUGUAAAUUUGGUAAUAAUUUAACUUAAACUUAUAAUUCUACCCUUAAUGAGAAGAUUUUAUAACCACAGAAAUACUCUGAAGUCCUUUUUGACUUGUUUAGGACCACAAAUUUCAAAAGUCUUCAUUUUCUCUUAAACUUCGUGUCUAGUCAAACAGAUUCACAUAAAUUGGAACGGAGGGAGUACUACUCUUUAAUAUGUCUACUAAAUAUUACUACCUUGUAAAUUCAUCCGAGCAUUUGUAUUAUAUUGACUCAUUGUGUAUACAAGGUGGGUUGCUCCGAUGGUAAGCAUCUUCCACUUCCAACCAAGAGGUUGUGAGUUCGAGUCAACCCAAGAGCAAGGUGGGAAGUUCUUGGAGGUAAGGACGCCGAGGGUCUAUUGGAAACAGCCACUCUACCCCAGGGUAGGGAUAAAGUCUGCGUACACACUACCCUCCCCAGAUCCCACUAGUGGGAUUGUAUUGGGUUGUUGUUGUUAUUGUUGUUGUUGACUCAUUGUGUAUACAGCUUGAUGACUUAUGCUAAUUAUUUGGCUCAACAGUUAGUCAUUGUCUCUGCAAGAUUAUGUAAAUUGACUUCUUUUCAAAAGCAUUUUAAGAUUCUAACACUUACAUUCUUGGUUAAAAAGAAAUAUGUACCUUCUUCCUUUAACAGUAGAGUUAAAAGAACUUUCAGUUUUCUAUCUCUCUCUCUUAGUUAGUCGCCGUCUUUUUAUUUUUAUUUUUUUUUGUAUGAAAAUCAUGGAUUAUCAACGGUUAUUUUAACAUACCUUUCCAAUUGUUUCCUAUCAUCGCCUCAAGGAUUGAGUUGCAUCUCUAUUUCUUGUUGUAGGACCAAAUCCUCUACUUCCUUGGUCCAUUGAAUUACCUCGGAUGACAGUGACACAAAGUCGAGAAAAACAAAUUCAAGCCUUGGGACAGAAAAAGGAAAAAAAUAAAGAGCCUAAAUAGAGAUAAAUGAAAUUAAACACCAAUUAAAUAUGAAGGCUCAAACUGGUCAUGGGCUUCUUCUUGGCCAAAGCUUCCUCACUGACGUUUGAUUGUCUCUCCUCCGUCGAUUUCUUCUCUGCUGUAAAGUCAAUGAUGGGAUAUAUGAAAUGAAACACCAAACAUCAUAAAUUGUCAUAUCAACAAAGACAUGCACAUAUGUAAGUCAAAAGCAUAAGCAAUUGAAAAGGAAAGAAUUACCUAUCUGUUUG